This 499-nucleotide ribosomal RNA is filed under the name uncultured bacterium. RNAcentral's name for it is "partial 16S ribosomal RNA". It matches the Rfam family "Bacterial small subunit ribosomal RNA", at positions 28 to 507 of the family's 1533-position model. The record is from RNAcentral.
GACGAACGCUGGCGGCGUGCUUAACACAUGCAAGUCGAACGGGCCCGCCCCUGUUUUUGGGGGUGGGUUGAGUGGCGAACGGGUGAGUAUCACGUGAGUAACCUGCCCCCUGCUCCUGGAUAACUGCUUGAAAGGGCGGCUAAUACGGGGUGUGCCGGCUGGUCCGCAUGGGCCUGGUCGGGAUAGUUUCAUCUUCGGGUGUUUCGGUGGGGGAUGGGCUCGCGGCCUAUCAGCUUGUUGGUGGGGUGAUGGCCCACCAAGGCGGUGACGGGUAGCCGGCCUGGGAGGGUGGGCGGCCAAACUGGGACGGAGACACGGCCCAGACUCCUGCGGGAGGCAGCAGUGGGGGGGAUUGCACAAUGGGCGGAAGCCUGAUGCAGCGACGUCGCGUGAGGGAUGGAGGCCUUCGGGUUGUGAACCUCUUUCUCCGGUGGGGAAGGCCCUGUCCGUUGCGGCGGGGUUGACGGUAGCCGGGUAUGAAGCGCCGGCUAACUACGUG